GAUGAACGCUGGCGGCGUGCUUAACUCAUGCAAGUCGAACGAUGAAGCCCAGCUUGCUGGGUGGAUUAGUGGCGAACGGGUGAGUAACACGUGAGUAACCUGCCCUUAACUCUGGGAUAAGCCUGGGAAACUGGGUCUAAUACCGGAUAGGAGCGUCCACCGCAUGGUGGGUGUUGGAAAGAUUUAUCGGUUUUGGAUGGACUCGCGGCCUAUCAGCUUGUUGGUGAGGUAAUGGCUCACCAAGGCGACGACGGGUAGCCGGCCUGAGAGGGUGACCGGCCACACUGGGACUGAGACACGGCCCAGACUCCUACGGGAGGCAGCAGUGGGGAAUAUUGCACAAUGGGCGCAAGCCUGAUGCAGCGACGCCGCGUGAGGGAUGACGGCCUUCGGGUUGUAAACCUCUUUCAGUAGGGAAGAAGCGAAAGUGACGGUACCUGCAGAAGAAGCACCGGCUAACUACGUG
RNAcentral lists this ribosomal RNA (466 nucleotides) under uncultured bacterium. RNAcentral's name for it is "partial 16S ribosomal RNA". It matches the Rfam family "Bacterial small subunit ribosomal RNA", at positions 28 to 507 of the family's 1533-position model. The record is from RNAcentral.